RNAcentral lists this ribosomal RNA (455 nucleotides) under Thymoites unimaculatus. RNAcentral describes it as "partial 16S ribosomal RNA". Lineage: Eukaryota; Metazoa; Arthropoda; Arachnida; Araneae; Theridiidae. The record is from RNAcentral.
UUUAUCAAAAACACUUUUAUUAUUUUUUAUGGUAGAUAUAAUCUGCUCAAUGAAUAUUAAAUAGCCGCAAUAUUUUGUGCUAAGGUAGCAUAAUCAUUUGUUUUUUAAUUAAAAACUAGAAUGAAAGAUUAAACGUUUUAAUUUCUUUAUUAUUUAUUUUUAUUUAAUUUAUAUUAAAUAUAAAAAUAUAUUUAUUAAUUAAAAAGACGAUAAGACCCUAUUAAACUUUACUUUUAGUUUAGCUGGGGCAGCUAUUUAAAUAUAAUUUUAUUAUUAUUUUUUUAAAAAUUUUCCAAUAAUAAUUGAUUUUAUAAACAAGUUACUAUAGGGAUAACAGCGUAAUAUUAUUCUAAAGUUCCUAUUUAAAAUAAAGUUUACGACCUCGAUGUUGAAUUAUUAUUCUAUUUAACGCAAUAGUUAAAAAAGUAAGUCUGUUCGACUUUUAAUAUAUUACA